RNAcentral lists this ribosomal RNA (301 nucleotides) under uncultured bacterium. Its description in RNAcentral is "partial 16S ribosomal RNA". It matches the Rfam family "Bacterial small subunit ribosomal RNA", at positions 509 to 807 of the family's 1533-position model. The record is from RNAcentral.
CAGCCGCCGCGGGAAUACGGAGGGUGCAAGCGUUAAUCGGAAUUACUGGGCGUAAAGCGCACGCAGGCGGUCUGUCAAGUCAGAUGUGAAAUCCCCGGGCUUAACCUGGGAACUGCAUUUGAAACUGGCAGGCUAGAGUCUUGUAGAGGGGGGUAGAAUUCCAGGUGUAGCGGUGAAAUGCGUAGAGAUCUGGAGGAAUACCGGUGGCGAAGGCGGCCCCCUGGACAAAGACUGACGCUCAGGUGCGAAAGCGUGGGGAGCAAACAGGAUUAGAGACCCCGGUAGUCCCUGUCUCUUAUAC